Molecule: transfer RNA, 73 nt
Filed under: Clostridium sp.
Lineage: Bacteria; Bacillati; Bacillota; Clostridia; Eubacteriales; Clostridiaceae
Also listed under: 6 other names
Description: tRNA-Thr
Rfam family: tRNA
About the family: Transfer RNA (tRNA) molecules are approximately 80 nucleotides in length. Their secondary structure includes four short double-helical elements and three loops (D, anti-codon, and T loops). Further hydrogen bonds mediate the characteristic L-shaped molecular structure. tRNAs have two regions of fundamental functional importance: the anti-codon, which is responsible for specific mRNA codon recognition, and the 3' end, to which the tRNAs corresponding amino acid is attached (by aminoacyl-tRNA synthetases). tRNAs cope with the degeneracy of the genetic code in two manners: having more than one tRNA (with a specific anti-codon) for a particular amino acid; and 'wobble' base-pairing, i.e. permitting non-standard base-pairing at the 3rd anti-codon position.
Source: RNAcentral
GCUGCUGUGGCUCAGUCGGUAGAGCGUCACAUUGGUAAUGUGGAGGUCACCGGUUCGAUUCCGGUCAGCAGCU